This 1183-nucleotide ribosomal RNA is filed under the name uncultured bacterium. Its description in RNAcentral is "bacterial SSU rRNA". It matches the Rfam family "Bacterial small subunit ribosomal RNA", at positions 284 to 1482 of the family's 1533-position model. The record is from RNAcentral.
UAGCUGGUCUGAGAGGAUGAUCAGCCACACUGGAACUGAGACACGGUCCAGACUCCUACGGGAGGCAGCAGUAAGGAAUAUUGCUCAAUGGCCGAAAGGCUGAAGCAGCAACGCCGCGUGGAGGAUGAAAUACUUUUGUAUGUAAACUCCUGUGAGAAGGGAAAAAUAUGCAGAUUUUCUGCGUUGAUUGUACCUUCAGAGGAAGCCCCGGCUAACUACGUGCCAGCAGCCGCGGUAAUACGUAGGGGGCGAGAGUUGUCCGGAUUUACUGGGUGUAAAGGGUGCUCAGGUGGAUUUGUAAGUCAGAGGUGAAAUCCCAAAGCUCAACUUUGGAGCUGCCUUUGAUACUGCAAGUCUUGAGUUUGGAAGAGGGUAAUGGAAUAUCUGGUGUAGCAGUGAAAUGCGUAGAUAUCAGAUAGAACACCAAUGGCGAAGGCAGUUACCUGGUCCAAAACUGACACUAAAGCACGAAAGUGUGGGGAGCAAACAGGAUUAGAUACCCUGGUAGUCCACACCCUAAACGAUGAAUACUAGAUGUUGGUCCUUUUAAGGGUCAGUAUCCAAGCUAACGCAUUAAGUAUUCCACCUGGGAAGUACAAUCGCAAGGUUGAAACUCAAAGGAAUUGACGGGGGCCCGCACAAGCAGUGGAGCAUGUGGUUUAAUUCGACGCAACGCGAAGAACCUUACCUAGGCUUGAAGCGCAAGCUAAACCUGAUGAAAGUCGGGGUGCCGCAAGGCGAGCUUGUACAGGUGCUGCAUGGCUGUCGUCAGCUCGUGCCGUGAGGUGUUGGGUUAAGUCCCGCAACGAGCGCAACCCUCGUUUUUAGUUGCCACCAGGUAAUGCUGAGCACUCUAAAAAGACUGCCUACGCAAGUAGUGAGGAAGGUGGGGAUGACGUCAAGUCCGCAUGGCCCUUACGCCUAGGGCCACACACGUGCUACAAUGGCCAUUACAAAGGGCUGCAAUACCGCGAGGUGGAGCCAAUCCCUAAAAAAUGGUCUCAGUUCGGAUUGGAGUCUGCAACUCGACUCCAUGAAGCUGGAAUUGCUAGUAAUCGCGCAUCAGCACGGCGCGGUGAAUACGUUCCCGGGCCUUGUACACACCGCCCGUCAAGCCAUGGAAGCUGGGGGUACCCAAAGUCGCCUUCAAUAAGCGCCUAAGGUAAAACCAGUGACUGGGGCU